GCACCUAUAGUCUAAUGGUAGGAUAAAACCCUUCCAAGGUUUGGGCCUGGGUUCGAUUCCCAGUGGGUGCA
Molecule: transfer RNA, 71 nt
Filed under: Monoraphidium minutum
Lineage: Eukaryota; Viridiplantae; Chlorophyta; Chlorophyceae; Sphaeropleales; Selenastraceae
Description: tRNA-Gly
Rfam family: tRNA
About the family: Transfer RNA (tRNA) molecules are approximately 80 nucleotides in length. Their secondary structure includes four short double-helical elements and three loops (D, anti-codon, and T loops).
Source: RNAcentral